This 467-nucleotide ribosomal RNA is filed under the name uncultured bacterium. RNAcentral describes it as "partial 16S ribosomal RNA". It matches the Rfam family "Bacterial small subunit ribosomal RNA", at positions 28 to 507 of the family's 1533-position model. The record is from RNAcentral.
GAUGAACGCUGGCGGCGUGCUUAACACAUGCAAGUCGAACGGAAAGGCCCAAGCUUGCUUGGGUACUCGAGUGGCGAACGGGUGAGUAACACGUGGGUGAUCUGCCCUGCACUUCGGGAUAAGCCUGGGAAACUGGGUCUAAUACUGGAUAGGACCACUUCUUGGAUGUUGUGGUGGAAAGUUUUUUCGGUGUGGGAUGAGCUCGCGGCCUAUCAGCUUGUUGGUGGGGUAAUGGCCUACCAAGGCGUCGACGGGUAGCCGGCCUGAGAGGGUGUACGGCCACAUUGGGACUGAGAUACGGCCCAGACUCCUACGGGAGGCAGCAGUGGGGAAUAUUGCACAAUGGGCGCAAGCCUGAUGCAGCGACGCCGCGGGGGGGAGGACGGCCUUCGGGUUGUAAACUCCUUUCGCUAGGGACGAAGCGUUUUGUGACGGUACCUGGAGAAGAAGCACCGGCUAACUACGUG